UGACCAAGGGGCCGGGGCGUUCUGACCAAUGGAGUGGCUGGAGCGAACCAGGUGUACAGGGAGUACUCCCAUUCGUGGGCCGGGUCAGGCAAGCC
RNAcentral lists this non-coding RNA (95 nucleotides) under unclassified sequences. RNAcentral describes it as "ivy-DE RNA". It matches the Rfam family "ivy-DE RNA". The record is from RNAcentral.